Molecule: non-coding RNA, 391 nt
Organism: Myotis davidii
Lineage: Eukaryota; Metazoa; Chordata; Mammalia; Chiroptera; Vespertilionidae
Source: the annotation of a RefSeq genome assembly
CAGGCAGCGCUCAGGACCCUCCACCAUGGCCUGGCUUCCCCUCUACCUCCUGCCCCUCAUCGUCUCCACAGGUCUCUGUGCUGAUCCUGUGCUCACCCAGCCCCCGUCUGCCUCUGCCGCCCUGGGGGCCUCAGUCAAGCUCACCUGCACCCUCAGCGCUGAGCACAGCAGCUACAACUAUGUUAGCUGGUAUCAGCAGAAAGCAGGACAGGCCCCUCGGUACAUCAUGUACAUUAACAGCGAUGGAAGCCACUCCAAGGGUGACGGGAUCCCUGAUCGCUUCUCGGGCUCCAGCUCCGGGGCCGACCGCUAUUUAACCAUCUCCAGCCUCCAGUCUGAGGACGAGGCUAAGUAUUACUGUGGUGUAUAUGGUAGCAGUUACUCACAGUGA